Nymphaea colorata (pocket water lily) is the source of this 92-nucleotide small nucleolar RNA. RefSeq annotates it as small nucleolar RNA U54. The transcript has a single exon. Lineage: Eukaryota; Viridiplantae; Streptophyta; Magnoliopsida; Nymphaeales; Nymphaeaceae. The record is from RefSeq and is a predicted model, not a curated record.
GGCUCCAUGAUCGUACGCCAACAUUGGCAAUAUACGCUAUUCUGAGAUUUGUCAAUUGCUCUGCUGACAAAUUGAGAGAGAAUAUGAGAGCU